CUAUGAUGGGGAUAACAGUUGGAAACGACUGCCAAUACCGAAUACGCUCAUGAUGAACUUUGUGAGGAAAGGUGGCCUCUGCUUGCAAGCUAUCGCAUAGAGAUGAGUCCGCGUCCCAUUAGCUAGUUGGUGGGGUAACGGCCUACCAAGGCAACGAUGGGUAGCCGAUCUGAGAGGAUGAUCGGCCACACUGGAACUGAAACACGGUCCAG
RNAcentral lists this ribosomal RNA (212 nucleotides) under uncultured bacterium. RNAcentral's name for it is "partial 16S ribosomal RNA". It matches the Rfam family "Bacterial small subunit ribosomal RNA", at positions 132 to 334 of the family's 1533-position model. The record is from RNAcentral.